CCAGAGGCUUGGAGGGGUUUUACUCUCUGUGGCCCUCCCAAAUUAAUAUAGACUUCAAGGCUGUAAUUAAGUGAAAUCAAGAACUAAUAUUUUGUUCCAAGAGCAUGUGAAUAUAUGUAGAUUUGUAGAACCAAACCUGUAAACACUAUAAUGUCAAACCUAAAUGUCUUCAUCCAAAUUAAUUUAAAACAAGGAUUAGGAACCCUUGCAAUUUCGCUGCUAGAUUCUGUGACAUUUAGUAAUAUUGGUUUUUAACCCUCAGUCUUUAGAGCUGUUUUUUAAAAGACUACAAGUCAGAAUAUGCUAAAGGAAAGGUUCAGUCUCUGGCAUAAGUGAAAAGUGAUGUUUGCAUUUUCUAGUUAUCUGGAGGUUCAAAUCAGAAGAAGAAGAAGAAGAAAAGAAGUUAAAUGGGAUAUGGUGAAAAUAUCAGCUUCAUUUUAGCAGUCACACCAUUCAGAAGGACCUGGCCCAUGAAUUUGCAGCACUUGGAACGUUCUACUCACAGAAAUUGCUUGCAGAAGGGGGAUCUGCAAGGCCUCUUAAAAGGCAUGCUGACCUCUCUUGUUCCCUUUGAAGCACUUAAGAUCAUAUCCAAGAGCUGCAUUCCAGCUGUGGCGCCUUCUGAGGAAGUCAAGGAGUUAGAGAGAGUUGUUAAGACUACCUUCCAAGGAGGGAUCAUAAAUAUCCAAACAGGUAAAAAUCCCAUUGUGUAUUGGUCAGUAUAUACCUAUGUGUCAUGUCAGCUUCAGGUUCUGAGGAUGUGA
Molecule: long non-coding RNA, 764 nt
Filed under: Cyanistes caeruleus (blue tit)
Lineage: Eukaryota; Metazoa; Chordata; Aves; Passeriformes; Paridae
Description: lncRNA (ENSCCEG00000011852.1)
Source: RNAcentral